AUAAAUAAAAUCUUUUAAUAUAUAUAUAUAUAUAUAUAUAUAUGAAAUCUGGGGUCCAGUUUGAAUUUGAGGUCUUUGAAUUCAGGCAAGAUUUAAAUUUAAGACAUUCCAAAUUGAUUACUUAGUUAGCUAUAUUAAAAAUAGCUAAGUUUUUCUGAUUGCUGUUAGAUGUAUCAGUGUAAAAUUAUUUAAUCCUCAUAAUGACAGAUGUGUUAUUGCCACCCUGUUUUAUAGGUGAUGCAGAUGAAAUACAGGCAUUUGGUAAUUUUCCCAAGGUCACAUAGUAAGUGGCCAAUAUUUCCAGUCAUCUCUGAUUCCAGAGCUUAUUUUCAUUGUACUUUUAGCCCUGCUCCUGUAUGGUUCCUAAUUGAUUUUUUUAAGUCAUUUAUCUCAAGCCCUAGACGAGAUUGCUUUAUAAGGUCUAAUUUCUUAGAAUAAACAUAGGUUUUAGCUAGUUUUCCUUGGCAAACUUUUAAGGGCAGAUCUGAGGAAUAAAGGUUAUAUGUUAUAAAUUCAGUAAAUCCCUGUGGGCAUUACCAAAUAAACCUAAGUACUCUUCAUACCAACGUUUUCAUUUCCAAAGUUUUAGAAGGAUGGAAUACAUUUUGGGAAUCUUUAAAGUUAAUAGUCCUCUCAGCCCCUUAUUACAUGUGCUCUUGGCCCCAGUUUUUACUCAAUUUGAAAUGUGAAAUGACUAGAAAAGAUGGCAGCUUUUUAAAAAGUAUGCCAACUAGCCCCCUGGCAUCCAAAUACAUGCCCUGUGCCCUUUAAAGUUGCCUUGGGCAGCCAUAGGUAUUCUAAGAAUGCUGUCAUUGCUCAGAAGAUACUUGAAGCUUGUUUAAAAUUCCUUUCAGGAACAAUUUUAUAAACUGAGAGAAGCAAUUUCUUCACAUUAUUUGCCAUAUUGAGACAAAUCUUGGCUUUCCAAGAAUUACCUUUUCAAUGAUUGGAGAUGCCACCUUUAAGCAAAUUCAGAAGAAUCUACUAUGUGCUCUAAAGGCAGUCACAAAAGAAAGGCAUUUCAAAUAAUAGGUACAGUAAGUAGUAUUUAGAAUAGGUAAAUAGCUGCUGAGGUGAGUACUUUGAAGUGAUUAUCACUCAUUCAACACGUAAAGCACAGGAGAAAGGUCUAAUCCCUACUCACAAGGAGCAGGACUUUCAGUGGGGAGACGUGUAAAUAGUUAAUAUUAAAAACCUUAAAAGAUAGAUAUGCUGUAAAUGUUCCAUCCCCUUUCAAAUGGUAUUUGAGAGGAGUGGUGAAGAGUUAUGGGGUGAAAAAUGGGCUCAUCUGAACUUAGAGUUUUGUCAGCUAAUAGGUAAUGUGUGUUUCACUGUUACAUUCUAAGUAUUGUGCUGGUCUAAGAUUUCUUGGUUUUGGCAGGAUGGGGACCUAAAGCCUCUGAAAUACUGCCGAGUUUAUCAAUGGACAGUGUUGGUGACUGUAAUGUACCUACUUUUUAAAUUCACACUUGUUCCCUGUCUACACCAAAUGUUCUAGAAUAGCACUGUUUAGUAGGAGGAUAAUGCAAGUGAUAAGUAAUUUUAACUUUUCUAGCAGCUGCAGUACAAAAGAUAAAAAGCUAGAGGCUAACUUAAUAAUUUGAUUUAACCCAAUAAGGUCAAAAUAUUUUAACAUGUUGAAUUAAUAGAGAAAAUAAUUGAGAUUUACAUUUUUUCAAAUUGAAUCUUCAAAAUCUGGUAUAUUACACUUAGAGUAUGUCUCAUUUUGAAUAAGGCAUAUUUCUAAAUGUUCAAUAGAAACAAGUAGCUAGCAGCCUCCAUAUUGGACAGUGCAGUUCUAGAAUAUGGAAGAGAAUGGUUACAGUAAGUAGGGUGCAACUGGUGAUGGAUUUUUUAAGUUCACCUGUAGAUAUGCAGUCUUACCUGCUCACCUACACCACCCUACAACUAAAUGGACAUCAUUUUUUAAUAGUGUGUUAAAGCUGUAGUUUGAGUGUCCCAGGUGCCUUGGUGGCUCAGUCGGUUGUGUCCGAAUCUUGGUUUCAGCCCAGGUCAUGAUUUCCUGGGUUGUGAGAUGCUCCCCACCCCCACACUGGGCUCCAUGCUCAGCAGGGAGUCUUCUUGAAGAUUCUCCCUCCACCCCUCCUCCCACUCACUUGUGUGUGUGCUCUCUCCCAAAAAAAUAAAUUUUUUAUUUUAAAAAGGUGUCUAUCCAGGCUUACAAAGCUACCAUCAUUCCCUCCUUUUGAGGUUAAUGUACUCCCUACCAAAGCUUCAAAUCUAACCGUUAAGAAUUAGCAAAAGACCUCAGCCAGUUGAAGAACCAAUGAUUAAAAAUUAAGGAAGCUCAUCACAACUUCAGCAUUAUGUAGCAGCCAAUAAAUAGUGGUUGUCACAUUUAUCGCAGGAACAAGCACCCAAAAUUUUAUGUGGAUUUUCCUAGUUCUGUUAUGUUAAAAUAAUAAGUAAUUUACAAGCAGUUGCCCUAUCAUCUGAAAUCACUGCAUUUGAAUAUUUUUGGCACUUGUUAGAAACAGCUAACCUGGAUUUAUGUUUCCACUUUAGAUAGUGAUAUAUUGUGUUUAAAUGACUGAGUGGAAGAGGAAAAGCUGACAUGAGAAUAGAGGCUACAAAAUCAGACUUCAGCCCAAGUGAAAGCACGUAU
This 2626-nucleotide long non-coding RNA is filed under the name Canis lupus familiaris (dog). Its description in RNAcentral is "lncRNA (ENSCAFG00000052305.1)". The record is from RNAcentral. Lineage: Eukaryota; Metazoa; Chordata; Mammalia; Carnivora; Canidae.